RNAcentral lists this ribosomal RNA (546 nucleotides) under uncultured bacterium. RNAcentral's name for it is "bacterial SSU rRNA". It matches the Rfam family "Bacterial small subunit ribosomal RNA", at positions 355 to 895 of the family's 1533-position model. The record is from RNAcentral.
UGGGGAAUAUUGCGCAAUGGGGGGAACCCUGACGCAGCCAUGCCGCGUGAAUGAAGAAGGCCUUCGGGUUGUAAAGUUCUUUCGGUAUUGAGGAAGGUUGAUGUGUUAAUAGCACAUCAAAUUGACGUUAAAUACAGAAGAAGCACCGGCUAACUCCGUGCCAGCAGCCGCGGUAAUACGGAGGGUGCGAGCGUUAAUCGGAAUAACUGGGCGUAAAGGGCACGCAGGCGGUUAUUUAAGUGAGGUGUGAAAGCCCCGAGCUUAACCUGGGAAUUGCAUUUCAGACUGGGUAACUAGAGUACUUUAGGGAGGGGUAGAAUUCCACGUGUAGCGGUGAAAUGCGUAGAGAUGUGGAGGAAUACCGAAGGCGAAGGCAGCCCCUUGGGAAUGUACUGACGCUCAUGUGCGAAAGCGUGGGGAGCAAACAGGAUUAGAUACCCUGGUAGUCCACGCUGUAAACGCUGUCGAUUUGGGGGUUGGGGUUUAACUCUGGCGCCCGUAGCUAACGUGAUAAAUCGACCGCCUGGGGAGUACGGCCGCAAGGUU